UACGGAGGAUGCGAGCGUUAUCCGGAUUUAUUGGGUUUAAAGGGUGCGUAGGCGGACGCUUAAGUCAGCGGUAAAAUUGCGGGGCUCAACCUCGUCGAGCCGUUGAAACUGGGUGCCUUGAGUGGGCGAGAAGUACGCGGAAUGCGUGGUGUAGCGGUGAAAUGCAUAGAUAUCACGCAGAACUCCGAUUGCGAAGGCAGCGUACCGGCGCCCAACUGACGCUGAAGCACGAAAGCGUGGGGAGCAAACAGG
RNAcentral lists this ribosomal RNA (252 nucleotides) under uncultured bacterium. Its description in RNAcentral is "partial 16S ribosomal RNA". It matches the Rfam family "Bacterial small subunit ribosomal RNA", at positions 524 to 776 of the family's 1533-position model. The record is from RNAcentral.